GACGACGCUGGCGGCGUGCCUAAUACAUGCAAGUCGAACGAGGGGCGGACGGGUGAGUAACACGUGGGAACCUACCCAUCAGAGGGGGAUAACACUUGGAUACUGGUGCUUAUACCCCCUACUGAUGGAUGGACCUGCGGUGGAUUAGCUUGUUGGUGGGGUAACGGCUUACCAAGGCGACGAUCCCUAGCGGGUCUGAGAGGAUGACCAGCCACACUGGAACUGAGACACGGUCCAGACUCCUACGGGAGGCAGCAGUGGGGAAUAUUGCACAAUGGGCGCAAGCCUGAUGCAGCCAUGCCGCGUGUAUGAAGAAGGCCUUCGGGUUGUAAAGUACUUUCAGCGGGGAGGCGUUACCCGCAGAAGAAGCACCGGCUAACUCCGUGCCAGCAGCCGCGGUAAUAC
Molecule: ribosomal RNA, 405 nt
Filed under: uncultured bacterium
Lineage: Bacteria
Description: partial 16S ribosomal RNA
Rfam family: Bacterial small subunit ribosomal RNA
Source: RNAcentral